Molecule: ribosomal RNA, 550 nt
Filed under: uncultured bacterium
Lineage: Bacteria
Description: bacterial SSU rRNA
Rfam family: Bacterial small subunit ribosomal RNA
Source: RNAcentral
UAGGGAAUCUUCGGCAAUGGGGGGAACCCUGACCGAGCAACGCCGCGUGAGUGAAGAAGGUUUUCGGAUCGUAAAGCUCUGUUGUUAAGGAAGAACGAGUGUGAGAAUGGAAAGUUCAUACUGUGACGGUACUUAACCAGAAAGGGACGGCUAACUACGUGCCAGCAGCCGCGGUAAUACGUAGGUCCCGAGCGUUGUCCGGAUUUAUUGGGCGUAAAGCGAGCGCAGGCGGUUAGAAAAGUCUGAAGUGAAAGGCAGUGGCUCAACCAUUGUAGGCUUUGGAAACUGUUUAACUUGAGUGCAGAAGGGGAGAGUGGAAUUCCAUGUGUAGCGGUGAAAUGCGUAGAUAUAUGGAGGAACACCGGUGGCGAAAGCGGCUCUCUGGUCUGUAACUGACGCUGAGGCUCGAAAGCGUGGGGAGCAAACAGGAUUAGAUACCCUGGUAGUCCACGCCGUAAACGAUGAGUGCUAGGUGUUAGGUCCUUUCCGGGACUUAGUGCCGCAGCUAACGCAUUAAGCACUCCGCCUGGGGAGUACGACCGCAAGGUUG